ACCUGGCUGGCUCAGUCAGUAAAGCAUGUGAUUCUUGAUCAUUGGGUUGUGAGUUCAAGCCUCACGCUGGGUG
This 73-nucleotide transfer RNA is filed under the name Ailuropoda melanoleuca (giant panda). It matches the Rfam family "tRNA". From Rfam's summary of the family: Transfer RNA (tRNA) molecules are approximately 80 nucleotides in length. Their secondary structure includes four short double-helical elements and three loops (D, anti-codon, and T loops). Lineage: Eukaryota; Metazoa; Chordata; Mammalia; Carnivora; Ursidae. The record is from Rfam by way of RNAcentral.